AUGGAUAUUUCAAAAGGUAGUCUUUUCCCUCUCCCUCAGGUACAUGCCGGUUGUACAAGGGAAUGUUGUGAAGGCGACUUAAGAACUGGUUGGGUGGCCAGACCAGAUUACCAUUCAAACUCGGACAGCCUGUCGUCCUGUCGUGUUCUCCUGUCUGCAAAGAUCCUCAGACUGCAGUGGCCUGGCUCCCGCUACCCAGGCUCUUCAGCCUCUACUGUGCAGACUGAAGACUGCUCACUCUGGCAAGGCCUUCUUUGCCCUCUCACGCUUCCCCUUGUCCUGCUGAAACCAGCACAUCGGAGCAGAUGCACUCAUGACACAACCAAAAACGGUGAGGGUGCUGGCAAUUCUACACCUGGGCCAAAGUGCCUGGACAGAUUCUGGGGAGGAGGUGUGGGCAAGGAAGGACUGCCCUGCUCUUUCUCUACCCUCUCUGCAAACAAGUAUCAGGCCUGCUGCUGGCUCAGUACCCCUGAGACAAUCAAGAGGUUUCUCCCAGAUCCUUUGCAAGUUACAGCCUCUCUGGGCAGUCAGGGAGGGGAUUUUAGAGUCCAGACAAACUCUAGCCAUGAGAAGCCUUGUGGGUCUCUUGAGUGUUCCUGCUUUAGUCAUCUUUAGAGCAUUAAACACGCCCAAUUUUCUCCCUUUUUAAAAUCUCACAUAGUUUUCCUGUGGCCUAGGAUUUCAGAGCUCCCUUAAUUGCACAUAUGUGGUCUAGGACCUCCAUGAUGUCAAGACAUUGGCUGGGCUACAGUGACACGGAAGAGAUAACUGACAUUAAAGGACCUGCUUCCCAGAUGGCUCAGUGCUGAGGCUGGUGAGUAGCUGGUGGCCCAUGGCAGGAGGCCAGGGUCCCUGGAUGCCUGGCCCCCCUCCAUUUGGCUGCCUGAAGGUUCUCAUGACAGGGUGCUCUGCUGACCAGGUGGUCAUCUUUCCCCAGAAUGGGUCAUUCAAGAGAGAGCAAGAUAGGAGUCUCGGUGUCCUGUAUGUGCUAGCCUUGAAGUCACACUCGUUUUGCACAUUCACUGGUUGUAUGGGUCAGUCCUGCUUAAUAGAGAAAAGGGGAGAAAUGGACAAGGACAUGGGUACCAAGAGGCAAGAGCUGCUGGGAGACACCAUGGCUGCCUACUACUGCCUCCGCCACAGGAAGUGACUAUGGGAAUCCAUCUGCCCUCUAUCUGAAUUCUAAGCGCUCCACAAAUCUGCUGCCCAAGGAAAUGCCAGAGCCCCCUUUUAGACAAGGGAGGAGAGCUCCUGAUGUCUACCUGCCAGCGAGGUGGCACGCAGUGGUACACUCCAGCCACUGUGCUAGUGCUUCAGGGUGCGGUGAGCACGUGGGGGAGUUCAGGAACCCCCAGUCAGUCAGGUGCACGUCAUGGCCUAGAAUGCAACUUCAAAGCCAACCCCACGCCUUGAGAAUCUUCUCGGAAGACUGCUCUAAAAUGGGCGUGUGGCGGCUCCAAAGAGUUAAUAAGGCUGUUUAAGUGUCUGAGUUAUACCUGAGAAGCUCUAGGGAGAAUGUGGCCUCACUGGAUUUCUGCUCUUUUCCUGGAGGGGAAAUAACCUUGCUGACUCAGAUGAGAGUAGAGAGGCUAAUUGUUAGCAGUUGCUGGUUUUACCUUUGGUGGGUAUCUCUGGAAAUCCCAGAGAACCUCUGUUGUUUUUUGCAAAAUAGUCCAAAGUCUGCCAGGGUUGGUGUUGGAUGCCUGUAAUCCUACCACUCUGGGAGGCUGAGGCAGGAUGUAGCUCAAAGUGAAGGCCUGGGUUCAAUCCCCCGUACCACCACCAUCAAAAAAAGUUUAAAAAUUUAAAUUUACUGAAGAGAGUGCUUGCCAGGCUGCGUAUAUACACGGCCUCCAACCCAGAUUUUAGAGAGGAGAAGGGCUAAAAGACUUGCCCGGCCUCUCCACUAGCGAGCGGGGGAAUCAGGAUUCCAACUGUGUGAGUCUGAAGCCACUCUGAGCAUCCCAGCAGAGAAGUGGGCAUAAAUAAAUCACUAAGUGAAGAGAAGGCCUCGAGGCGGCCCUGGCAGGGGAGGCAGGAGAGGAGUCGGAGGGCUGGGGCCGGGCCGAGGGACGUCCGGCUGGCGGUUGGGAUCCUGCCUGUCCCCUAACCCGAGGCCAGCUCUGGGGGAGCAGCAGCGCGUCUCCCUCCUCCUCCGCGGAGCGCCGGCUGGUUAAGGAUGACAGUUUCUCCACCAGGCCCGCUGCUAAGUUAAGCAGCACUUUUUAAAAAAUCGUCUAGGCAUCCCCAGGAGCUGAGCUCUACAGCCCGCCCGAGAGCCGGGGAGCUGAGCAACCUCCUCAAGGUCACAAGGCCCCAGGUACGGGUGCUCUCGGCCCACUGGGACUCGGACUCCGGCCACCGCGC
This 2370-nucleotide long non-coding RNA is filed under the name Fukomys damarensis (Damara mole-rat). Its description in RNAcentral is "lncRNA (ENSFDAG00000029872.1)". The record is from RNAcentral. Lineage: Eukaryota; Metazoa; Chordata; Mammalia; Rodentia; Bathyergidae.